Molecule: ribosomal RNA, 381 nt
Filed under: Triticum aestivum (bread wheat)
Lineage: Eukaryota; Viridiplantae; Streptophyta; Magnoliopsida; Poales; Poaceae
Description: partial small subunit ribosomal RNA
Source: RNAcentral
AUGGACAACUGCAAGGCUGCACCCACACCUGUGGACACGAAGUCCAAACUUCCCUCCGCCGACGGGCCCAAGGUCGCCGAUGCCUAUGCCUACCGCAGUCUCGCCGGGGCUCUACAGUACCUCACCAUCACCCGCCCUGAGCUUGCGUACGCCGUGCAACAGCUGUGUCUUCACAUGCAUGACCCCCGGGUCUGUCAUGAAGGCCUGCUGAAGCGCGCACUUCGCUAUGUGCGCGGCACCACCGACUUGGGGCUCUGGAUCCAUCCUGCUGCCAAGAUCGAGCUUCGGGCCUUCACUGAUGCAGAUUGGGCUGGUUGCCCGGACAUGCGCUGCUCGACCUCGGGGUUUUGUGUCUACCUCGGCGACACUCUGGUCUCCUAG